This is a long non-coding RNA of Juglans microcarpa x Juglans regia, 237 nucleotides long. RefSeq lists it as uncharacterized. The transcript is spliced from 2 exons. The record is from RefSeq and is a predicted model, not a curated record. Lineage: Eukaryota; Viridiplantae; Streptophyta; Magnoliopsida; Fagales; Juglandaceae.
AAAACUACAAUUAUCCUACAUAUACAACAAAUUAAGUUAAAUUGAAAACUCAUACUUCAGGAUUAUAUUGGAACCAAUCACUAAUCUGACUGAGCAUUAGAGCAUUCAAGUAUGUCUCUGUGCAAGGUAUGCUUUCAACUACUUUAUUUCACCAAUGUUGGAUUGGUCCAAUGUAAAUAUCAUUUUCUGCCCAGGUGUUUUUUUCUUCUCCUAAAUGCGGUUCAACCAUAUCAUGAG